AGCAGUCGCCGCGGUAAUACGUAGGUGGCAAGCGUUGUCCGGAAUUAUUGGGCGUAAAGGGAGCGCAGGCGGGCGAGUAAGUCUUUCUUAAAAGUGCGGGGCUCAACCCCGUGAGGGGAGAGAAACUACUCAUCUUGAGUGCAGGAGAGGAAAGCGGAAUUCCUAGUGUAGCGGUGAAAUGCGUAGAUAUUAGGAAGAACACCAAUGGCGAAGGAAGCUUCUUGGUCCAUUCCUGACGUUCAUGCACGAAAGCGUGGGGAGCAAACAGGAUUAGAUACCCGAGUAGUCCCUGUCUCUUAUAAC
This 303-nucleotide ribosomal RNA is filed under the name uncultured bacterium. Its description in RNAcentral is "partial 16S ribosomal RNA". It matches the Rfam family "Bacterial small subunit ribosomal RNA", at positions 507 to 810 of the family's 1533-position model. The record is from RNAcentral.